UGGCUCUCGCAUCGAUGAAGAACGCAGCGAAAUGCGAUAAGUAAUGUGAAUUGCAGAAUUCAGUGAAUCAUCGAAUCUUUGAACGCAUCUUGCGCUCCUUGGCAUUCCAUGGAGCAUGCCUGUUUGAGUGUCACGUAGAACCUCACCCCUGUGGCAUUAACGUGUCACCUGUGGUGGAAUUGGACCGUGCCGUUGUUGGCUCGUCCUCAAAUGCAUUAGCUUGCGCUAGUUAGAGUGCUCGGAUCGGUGUGAUAAUUAUCGGCGCCGUUUCCUCAGGCCUCUUCUUUCCGUGCGCGGCUUCCAACAGUCCCUCGCGGACAAAUGACCUUUCAAAGCUUUGGCCUCAAAUCAGGUAGGACUACCCGCUGA
Molecule: unclassified non-coding RNA, 369 nt
Filed under: uncultured fungus
Lineage: Eukaryota; Fungi
Description: partial contains 5.8S ribosomal RNA and internal transcribed spacer 2
Rfam family: 5.8S ribosomal RNA (bases 1-133)
Source: RNAcentral